Molecule: ribosomal RNA, 500 nt
Filed under: uncultured bacterium
Lineage: Bacteria
Description: partial 16S ribosomal RNA
Rfam family: Bacterial small subunit ribosomal RNA
Source: RNAcentral
AUUGAACGCUGGCGGAAUGCUUUACACAUGCAAGUCGAACGGCAGCACGGACUUCGGUCUGGUGGCGAGUGGCGAACGGGUGAGUAAUAUAUCGGAACGUGCCCAGUCGUGGGGGAUAACGUAGCGAAAGCUACGCUAAUACCGCAUACGAUCUACGGAUGAAAGCGGGGGAUCGCAAGACCUCGCGCGAUUGGAGCGGCCGAUAUCAGAUUAGGUAGUUGGUGAGGUAAAGGCUCACCAAGCCGACGAUCUGGAGCUGGUCUGAGAGGACGACCAGCCAGACUGGGACUGAGACACGGCCCAGACUCCUACGGGAGGCAGCAGUGGGGAAUUUUGGACAAUGGACGCAAGUCUGAUCCAGCCAUUCCGCGUGCAGGACGAAGGCCUUCGGGUUGUAAACUGCUUUUGUACAGAACGAAAAGGUCUCUAUUAAUACUAGGGGCUCAUGACGGUACUGUAAGAAUAAGCACCGGCUAACUACGUGCCAGCCGCCGCGGUAA